RNAcentral lists this transfer RNA (87 nucleotides) under Phycisphaeraceae bacterium. Its description in RNAcentral is "tRNA-Ser". It matches the Rfam family "tRNA". From Rfam's summary of the family: Transfer RNA (tRNA) molecules are approximately 80 nucleotides in length. Their secondary structure includes four short double-helical elements and three loops (D, anti-codon, and T loops). Further hydrogen bonds mediate the characteristic L-shaped molecular structure. tRNAs have two regions of fundamental functional importance: the anti-codon, which is responsible for specific mRNA codon recognition, and the 3' end, to which the tRNAs corresponding amino acid is attached (by aminoacyl-tRNA synthetases). tRNAs cope with the degeneracy of the genetic code in two manners: having more than one tRNA (with a specific anti-codon) for a particular amino acid; and 'wobble' base-pairing, i.e. permitting non-standard base-pairing at the 3rd anti-codon position. Lineage: Bacteria; Pseudomonadati; Planctomycetota; Phycisphaerae; Phycisphaerales; Phycisphaeraceae. The record is from RNAcentral.
GGAGAGGUGGCCGAGCGGCUUAAGGUGCUCGACUGGAAAUCGAGUGUGCACGCAAGUGUACCGCGGGUUCGAAUCCCGCCCUCUCCG